AGCCGGCAGCGAGCUGAGCUGAGUGUCGGCCUCUGCUCCCAGUUCUCCCAGCUCCCAGGGUGGCACGCGGCCACUUCAACUGGCCCGUCUUCAGGUUCCCGGGGCCCGUGGCCACCAGGAUGCUAUGGGCGCUGCCCAUGAAUGACAACAAGCCCUGAAAGCUCGGGGGGCGUCACGCAGUCCCACAAGCCUGCAUGCCCCACAGCCGAGAUGGGCUCAGCUCCUGGACUUGCCACAGACAGAAAGCAUAACACACACUUGCUGGGGAGAGUCUUUGCCUGAUCGGGGGCUGCUCAGAGCACAGGAAGGUGGCCGGCCAGCUGGGAGCAAGAGAUGCAGAGCACCGUCAAUUACCUGUGGCACACGGAUGACCUGCUGGGUCAGGGGGCCACUGCCAGUGUGUACAAGGCCCGAAACAAGAAAUCCGGGGAGCUGGUUGCUGUGAAGGUCUUCAACACGGCCAGCUACCUGCGACCCCGCGAGGUGCAGGUGAGGGAGUUUGAGGUCCUGCGGAAGCUGAACCAUCAGAACAUCAUCAAGCUCUUUGCGGUGGAGGAGACGGGGGGCAGCCGGCAGAAGGUGCUGGUGAUGGAGUACUGCUCCAGCGGCAGCCUGCUGAGUGUGCUGGAGAGCCCUGAGAACGCCUUUGGGCUGCCCGAGGACGAGUUCCUGGUGGUGCUGCGCUGUGUGGUGGCCGGCAUGAACCACCUGCGGGAGAACGGCAUCGUCCACCGAGACAUCAAGCCCGGGAACAUCAUGCGCCUGGUCGGGGAGGAGGGGCAGAGCAUCUACAAGCUGACGGACUUUGGGGCAGCCCGGGAGCUGGAUGACGACGAGAAGUUCGUCUCGGUCUACGGCACCGAGGAGUACCUGCACCCUGACAUGUAUGAGCGGGCGGUGCUUCACAAGCCCCAACAGAAAGCUUUUGGGGUCGCCGUGGAUCUCUGGAGCAUUGGGGUGACCCUGUACCAUGCGGCCACUGGCAGCCUGCCCUUCGUCCCCUUUGGAGGGCCCCGACGCAACAAGGAGAUCAUGUACCGGAUCACCACGGAGAAGCCAGCCGGGGCCAUCGCAGGCACUCAGAGGCUGGAGAACGGGCCCCUGGAGUGGAGCUACACACUCCCCAUCACCUGUCAGCUGUCCAUGGGGCUGCAGAGCCAGCUGGUGCCCAUCCUGGCCAACAUCCUGGAGGUGGAGCAGGCCAAGUGCUGGGGCUUCGACCAGUUCUUUGCGGAGACCAGUGACAUCCUGCAGCGAGUUGUCGUCCACGUCUUCUCCUUGCCGCAGGCCGUCGUGCACCAUGUCUACAUCCACGCGCACAACACGAUAGCCAUCUUUCUGGAGGCCGUGUACAAGCAGACCAACGUGGCCCCCCAGCACCAGGAGUACCUCUUUGAGGGUCACCUCUGUGUCCUCGAGCCCAGCGUCUCAGCACAGCACAUCGCCCACACGACAGCAAGCAGCCCCCUGACCCUGUUCAGCAUGGUCAGCGAGACCCCCAAGGGGCUGGCCUUCAGGGACCGGUGUAGAAGGCAGAUCUGGGUUCUAAUUCUGCAUACGCCUCUGAAAUGCCAUGUGACUCGGGCUGGUGGCCUGCCCAACCUGCUUCGCAGCGUCCAAAGAUCUGGGAAAGAAACUACAAUGGAAACAGGGAGAUGUGGAUUCAAUGUGGUCUCCACAGUCUGUGCUGCUCUGGACAUCCCCAAGUUUGUCCCCAAAGUGGACCUGCAGUCAGAUUACAACACGGCCAAGGGUGUGUUGGGUGCCGGCUACCAGGCCCUGCGGCUGGCACAGGCCUUGCUGACAGGACAGGAGCUGAUGCUUCGGGGGCUGCACUGGUUCGUGGAGGUACUCCAGGCCACGUGCAGGCGGACGCUGGAGGUCACGAGGAUGGCCCUCCUCUUCCUCAGCAGCAGCCUCGGCACUGAGAGGUUCAGCAACGUGGCUGGGGUGCCUGAGAUCCAGGAACUGAAGAGGGCCGCAGAGCUGAGGUCCAAGCUGCGGACCUUGGCUGAGGUCCUCUCCAGAUGUUCCCAUAACAUCACAGAGACCAAGAUGACCCUGAGCAACCUGAGCUCUGAGCUGAUGAAGAACCGGGAUCAGGUACAUGCGGACAGAAGCAUCCAGCAGAUUCAGUGCUGUUUGGACAAGAUGUAUCUCAUUUACAAACAGUUCAAGAAAUCCAGGAUGAGGCCAGGGCUUGGCUACAACGAGGAGCAGAUUCACAAGCUGGAUAAGGUGAAUUUUAGUCAUUUAGCCAAAAGGCUCCUGCAGGUGUUCCAGGAGGAGCGUGUGCAGAAGUACCAGGCAUCCCUGGUCACGCAUGGCAAGAGAAUGAGUGGAUACUAUCACCCCAUUUCACAGAUGAGGAAACUGAGGCUCAGAGAACAGGUUGCUUCCUUAAUACGACACCGCUAGUAAAUAGCAGACCCAGGACUGGCACAUGGGUAUGACUGCCUCUAAAAUCUAGAUUCUUUCCAUGUCCCAGGUGGUUGUGUUCAGAAGCCCCCUCUCUGGGGAAAACACAAGAUCCCUCUGGGAUGAGGACAAGUGGCCUGGGAAGCAGGGGCAGGCAGAGGCCCUUAUGUAGAACCCCCCUUGCACACUGUCCCUUAUAGGAGUUUUGGCUUCUGCCUCUCAGACAAGCGCCUUCCCCCUUCCCCUCCUGAGACAAGAGGACAGUUUCCCAGGUGCUGCUGGUUCUGUGGCCCACGUGACCUGUGGGCUUAUUAUGGGGCUGAGACUCAGACACUCACCUACCCUUACAUUAAAAUACCGUUUCCAUCUCCCCCAGCCAAGCCACCCCAAAUUCUGACUUAAUUGGUCUGGAGUAGGGCUUGGAUGGCAGUAUUUAAAUGCUCCUUGUGUGAUUCUAAUGUGUAACCAGAGUUGAGGAUCGACCACUGGUCGAACCCCUCCAGGACUUGGUGUAUGUUUUGUGCCGUGGGGCAGUGUUCUUCCUCUCUCCCUCCACUUAGAGAGAGAAGAGAAUUCAUAACAGAGUCUUCACUUUGAUCUGCUCUGGAAAUGGGAACGUGGGCAGUUCCCGUUUUAAGUGUGCCAGUGCAGGCGGUCCCUGCCUCUCCAGAGCCUGAGCCGGGCCCUUGCUCACCCUCGCUGGCUUGUGUGGCCCGGCCUGACACAGGUGUAUUCGCAGCUCCCACUGUGGUUCCGCCAGGACCCUCACUAGCCCCGGUCAGAGUGCUCAUCAGCAUCCUUACCUGGGACAGGUGAGGGCUGAGGGCACAGCUGGAAGGGCAGAGGCAGCGAGGGGGGCCAGUGCCUGGCACCCACCAGCUCCAGCCUCUGCCGCCUGGAAAACCUCUCCUCCGUGUCUGUGUGGUGACCGAACUGCUGGGGGGGCCCCGGUGAGAGUGAGUAGGCCAGGCUCUGACAUUUCUCUGCUCUCUUGAGGGUGGUGCAUGAGACCAGGAACCACCUGCGCCUGGUGGGCUGCUCCGUGGCCGCCUGUAACACAGAAGCCCAGGGAGCCCAGGAGAGCCUCAGCAAGAUCCUUGACUGGCUAUCUCACCAGCUCCUGCAGGACAGAACAAAGGGGGCUCA
Globicephala melas (long-finned pilot whale) is the source of this 3564-nucleotide RNA transcript. It is a transcript of the gene named inhibitor of nuclear factor kappa B kinase subunit epsilon, with no coding region annotated. The record is from RefSeq and is a predicted model, not a curated record. NCBI's taxonomy places the organism in Eukaryota, Metazoa, Chordata, Mammalia, Artiodactyla, Delphinidae.